RNAcentral lists this ribosomal RNA (504 nucleotides) under uncultured Acinetobacter sp. Its description in RNAcentral is "bacterial SSU rRNA". It matches the Rfam family "Bacterial small subunit ribosomal RNA", at positions 1 to 502 of the family's 1533-position model. The record is from RNAcentral. Lineage: Bacteria; Pseudomonadati; Pseudomonadota; Gammaproteobacteria; Moraxellales; Moraxellaceae.
UUAGAGUUUUGGACCUGGCUCAGAUUGAACGCUGGCGGCAGGCUUAACACAUGCAAGUCGAGCGGGCGAGGGUGGUUCGGUACAUGAGCUAGCGGCGGACGGGUGAGUAAUGCUUAGGAAUCUGCCUAUUAGUGGGGGACAACAUUCCGAAAGGAAUGCUAAUACCGCAUACGCCCUACGGGGGAAAGCAGGGGAUCUUCGGACCUUGCGCUAAUAGAUGAGCCUAAGUCAGAUUAGCUAGUUGGUGGGGUAAAGGCCUACCAAGGCGACGAUCUGUAGCGGGUCUGAGAGGAUGAUCCGCCACACUGGGACUGAGACACGGCCCAGACUCCUACGGGAGGCAGCAGUGGGGAAUAUUGGACAAUGGGCGAAAGCCUGAUCCAGCCAUGCCGCGUGUGUGAAGAAGGCCUUUUGGUUGUAAAGCACUUUAAGCGAGGAGGAGGCUACCUGGGAUUAAUACUCUAGGAUAGUGGACGUUACUCGCAGAAUAAGCACCGGCUACUC